GACGAAGAACGCAGCGAAAUGCGAUAAGUAAUGUGAAUUGCAGAAUUCAGUGAAUCAUCGAAUCUUUGAACGCACAUUGCGCCCGCCAGUAUUCUGGCGGGCAUGCCUGUUCGAGCGUCAUUUCAACCCUCAAGCCCAGCUUGGUGUUGGGGAUCGGCACAGGCGCCCUCGGGCGCCCGCCGUCCCCUAAAUCUAGUGGCGGUCCCGCUGCAGCCUCCUCUGCGUAGUAGUUUUCUCCUCGCAAGGGCAGCUCGGUGGCGACCUCGCCGUAAAACCCCCAACUUCUGAAAGGUUGACCUCGAAUCAGGUAGGAAUACCCGCUGAACUUAAGCAUAUCAAUAAGCGGAGGA
RNAcentral lists this unclassified non-coding RNA (350 nucleotides) under soil metagenome. RNAcentral's name for it is "partial contains 5.8S ribosomal RNA, internal transcribed spacer 2, and large subunit ribosomal RNA". The stretch from base 1 to 120 matches the Rfam family "5.8S ribosomal RNA", at positions 35 to 154 of the family's 154-position model. The record is from RNAcentral.